AUUCAUGGCUUCCACUUCCUCUUCACCUCCUGUUACUCUUUCUUCUACUCUUUCUUUGCCCAAAUCUUGCUCUUCUCAUACCACUAAUAAAAUUGAAAAUCUUGUAGAAUACUCCUACAUCCCUGAAUCCGCCCAAAUCAGUGAAUCUUCUUACCCUCUCCUCAGCCCUUACCACCUAUACAAACGUCCCAGUUCUUUUACCCGCAGUAUCCGUACUCUCAUAUCCACCCGCCGCCCUCACCCUAAAGAAUAUAUCCAGUCUUCUCGCCUGGAUCAAUGUUCUCUCCAAGCAACCCCUGCUGAGCAAUAUGUCACUCUCGAAAUACCUUCAGAGUUAAUUUCCAAUUGGAAACGAGAAGGUUACACUCAUCUCCAUCUUGGAGGCAUCAGAUUAAUCCUUACCCUUCAUGGGAGAAAAGGAUUACCAGUUACUGCUCGAAUUGCUAUGCUUGAUACCCGGUUUCAACAGUACCAAGAUACUGUUAUAGGUACGGUCCUCACAACCCUUCAUGCUGGAAGUGUUCUACUUACCUUUUAUCCAAACUUUAACCUUUCUCUUCAAGACACCAAUCUGCCUACAGCCUUGAAAGUUCAAGUUCAAAUUCAAGGUGCAGAACAAAUUUCCUCUGCCAAAAUUGCCACCUUACACCAUCAAUUGGUCUAUAGGCUCCAAAAUCAUGCCUUAGAUCUACCUACUCCAGAACACCACUCUGACACCCUCAUGGUGUUAGCAGAAUCUGACCAGAUCCCGACAAUCAUCCAGAUCCCACGACAAAUUCCCCGUCAUGAGCUCAUCAAGCUUAUGCCUCUUGAAUGGAUCUCACCAAACCAGAUAAGAAAUGGUCAAAAGUUUUCUGAUGCACAAGAUCCUUACUAGAAGGCAAGUGCAGAGCAUACUUCCUUAGGUUUUCUGCUGUACCGUACAUCCGCCUUGGCCGUACAGCAGGACGAGCAAAUCCAACAAAGGGAACUCACUCCAGACCAAUAAGAAUUCAAGGUUAAUGGGCCGAGAGUGGAGCACUAUAUGGGAGCUAAUGUGAACAACCUACAGAAGGAUCAAUUUUUUAAGGAUCCAGGUUGAGCAAACCAGAAAAGUCAAGCUGAAGGACCUAAAAUUAAGCGCUAAUUGGGAGGCAAAUCAAUAAAGGAAGUUGUUUCAAGUUUUUAAGGCAUUGAAUUUAGUUUUUAAAUUAUAUAAUUUUUCUUUUUGUUAUGUUAAAUGUGCAUAUAAUUUUUAUGUCUUUGUGUUAAAUCGUAGUAAGUAAAAAAAAUUAUGAAAAAAAAGAGCAGGAAUGAAUUGCUGGAGCAUCACUUACAGCAUGACAUAUAACAGAAGAUUCUCGAACAACAAAGGCAUUUCUUGCUUUACGAUAAGGAGCAUUUGAGAAGUGGAUCAAAUAAGAAGUGACCAUUUAUAGCCUGUGCUGCAGCAAUGCUUCCAGUAACAGGGGAGUACCCCCUACCCGCCAGUUUAUUUUACUUCUUUUUUAAAAACUUCUCUUUCAUUUAGUUUUUAAAAAAGAGCCAUACUCGUCCUUGAAAGUUUUUCUAAAUCUUUGUUUUUCAAAGCUCAAAGUGGUAUAAUUUAUGUCUUUAUUCUAUUUUGAUCUCUAGACUUCAGAUGCAGAGAGAAUUUCUCAUUCAUGGCUUCUACUUCAUCCUCUUCCUCUUCACCUCCUGUUACUCUUUCUUCUACUCUUUCUUUGCCCAAAUCUUGCUCUUCUCAUACCACUAAUAAAAUUGAAAAUCUUGUAGAAUACUCCUACAUCCCUGAAUCCGCCCAAAUCAGUGAAUCUUCUUACCCUCUCCUCAGCCCUUACCACCUAUACAAACGUCCCAGUUCUUUUACCCGCAGUAUCCGUACUCUCAUAUCCACCUGCCGCCCUCACCCUAAAGAAUAUAUCCAGUCUUCUCGCCUAGAUCAAUGUUCUCUCCAAGCAACCCCUGCUGAGCAAUAUGUCACUCUCGAAAUACCUUCAGAGUUAAUUUCCAAUUGGAAACGAG
This 2004-nucleotide long non-coding RNA is filed under the name Citrus sinensis (sweet orange). Its description in RNAcentral is "long non-coding RNA (CSIN_LNC005397)". The record is from RNAcentral. Lineage: Eukaryota; Viridiplantae; Streptophyta; Magnoliopsida; Sapindales; Rutaceae.